ACAGCAGCCGCCGCGGUAAUACGUAGGGUGCAAGCGUUAAUCGGAAUUACUGGGCGUAAAGCGUGCGCAGGCGGUUAUAUAAGACAGAUGUGAAAUCCCCGGGCUCAACCUGGGAACUGCAUUUGUGACUGUAUAGCUAGAGUACGGCAGAGGGGGAUGGAAUUCCGCGUGUAGCAGUGAAAUGUGUAGAUAUGCGGAGGAACACCGAUGGCGAAGGCAAUCCCCUGGGCCUGUACUGACGCUCAUGCACGAAAGCGUGGGGAGCAAACAGGAUUAGAGACCCGGGUAGUCCCUGUCUCUUAUAC
This 305-nucleotide ribosomal RNA is filed under the name uncultured bacterium. Its description in RNAcentral is "partial 16S ribosomal RNA". It matches the Rfam family "Bacterial small subunit ribosomal RNA", at positions 508 to 807 of the family's 1533-position model. The record is from RNAcentral.